RNAcentral lists this ribosomal RNA (2742 nucleotides) under Triticum aestivum (bread wheat). RNAcentral describes it as "partial small subunit ribosomal RNA". Lineage: Eukaryota; Viridiplantae; Streptophyta; Magnoliopsida; Poales; Poaceae. The record is from RNAcentral.
AUGUAUCAGGUGACCUCUCAGCGACGUAACCCUCUCAGCGACGCGCCACAUCGGAACCCGGGUGUGGUGGAAAAUGGGCAAGGGCCGGGCCGUCACCCCCCAAGUGGCGCGCUGUAUCUUGAUCCGGAUACGGUGGCAAGUGAGCGAGGAUCGGGUCGUCGCAUCCUUAGUGGCGCGCUACAUCGGCGCCCGGAUGUAGUGGAAAAUGAGCAAGGGUCUUCGCAUUUGACUCGACGAGUGCGAAGGGUAAGGAAGCUAGCCGAGCCUAGGAGGAUUCGCUUAGGUAGCUGGAACGUAGGGUCUCUGACAGGGAAGCUUCUGGAGCUAGUUGAUGCAGCAGUGAGGAGAGGUGUUGAUAUCCUUUGCGUCCAAGAAACCAAAUGGAGAGGACGGAAGGCGAAGGAGGUGGAGGAUGCCGGCUUCAAGCUAUGGUACACGGGGACGGCUGCAAACAGAAAUGGCGUAGGCAUCUUGAUCAACAAGAGCCUCAAGUAUGGAGUGGUAGACGUCAGGAGACGUGGGGACCGGAUUAUCCUGGUCAAGCUGGUAGCUGAGGACUUGGUUCUCAAUGUUAUCAGCGCAUAUGCCCCGCAAGUAGGCCACAAUGAGAACACCAAGAGGGAGUUCUGGGAAGGCUUGGAAGACAUGGUUAGGAGUGUACCGAUUGGUGAGAAGCUCUUCAUAGGAGGAGACCUCAAUGGCCACGUGGGUACAUCUAACACAGGUUUUGAAGGGGCGCAUGGGGGCUUUGGCUAUGGCAUCAGGAAUCAAGAAGGAGAAGAUGUCUUAAGCUUUGCUCUAGCCUACAACAUGAUUGUAGCUAACACCCUCUUUAGAAAGAGAGAAUCACAUCUGGUGACUUUUAGUAGUGGCCAACACUCUAGCCAGAUUGAUUUCAUCCUCUCGAGAAGAGAAGAUAGGCGUGCGUGCCUAGACUGUAAGGUGAUACCUGGGGAGAGUGUUGUACCCCAGCAUAAGCUGGUGGUUGCUGACUUCCGCUUUCGGAUUCGUGUCCAGCGGGAUAAGCGUGCCAAGGUCGCUAGAACGAAGUGGUGGAAGCUCAAGGGGGAGGUAGCUCAGGUGUUCAAGGAGAGGGUAUUUAAGGAGGGCCCUUGGGAGGAAGGAGGGGAUGCGGACAAUGUGUGGAUGAAGAUGGCGACUUGCAUUCGUAAGGUGGCCUCGGAGGAGUUUGGAGUGUCCAAGGGAAGGAGAAGCGAAGAUAAGGAUACCUGGUGGUGGAAUGAUGAUGUCCAGAAGGCGCUUAAAGAGAAGAAAGAUUGCUUCAGACGCCUAUACCUGAAUAGGAGUGCAGACAACAUAGAGAAGUACAAGAUGGUGAAGAAGGCCGCAAAGCGAGCUGUUGGUGAAGCAAGGGGUCGGGCAUAUGAGGACCUCUACCAACGGUUAGGCACGAAGGAAGGUGAAAGGGACAUCUAUAAGAUGGCUAAGAUCCGGGAGAGGAAGACGAGGGAUAUUGGCCAAGUCAAAUGCAUCAAGGACGGAGCAGGCCAACUCUUGGUGAAGGACGAAGAGACUGAGCAUAGAUGGCGAGAGUACUUCGACAAGCUGUUCAAUGGGGAGAAUGAGAGUUCUACCAUUGAACUGAAUGACUCCUUUGAUGAGACCAGCAUGCGUUUUGUGCGGCGCAUCCAGGAGUCUGAGGUGAAGGAGGCUUUAAAAAGGAUGAAAGGAGGCAAGGCGAUGGGCCCUGAUUGUAUCCCCAUUGAGGUGUGGAAAGGUCUCGGGGACAUAGCGAUAGUAUGGCUAACCAAGCUUUUCAACCUCAUUUUUCGGGCAAACAAGAUGCCAGAAGAAUGGAGACGGAGUAUAUUAGUACCAAUCUUCAAGAACAAGGGGGAUGUUCAGAGUUGUACUAAUUACCGUGGAAUUAAGCUGAUGAGCCAUACAAUGAAGCUAUGGGAGAGAGUCAUUGAGCACCGCUUAAGAAGAAUGACAAGCGUGACCAAAAAUCAGUUUGGUUUCAUGCCUGGGAGGUCGACCAUGGAAGCCAUUUUCUUGGUACGACAACUUAUGGAGAGAUAUAGGGAGCAUAAGAAGGACUUGCAUAUGGUGUUCAUUGACUUGGAGAAGGCCUAUGAUAAGAUACCGCGGAAUGUCAUGUGGUGGGCCUUGGAGAAACACAAAGUCCCAGCAAAGUACAUGACCCUCAUCAAGGACAUGUACAAUAAUGUUGUGACAAGUGUUCUAAAAAGUGAUGUCGACAUCGAUGACUUCCCGAUUAAGAUAGGACUGCAUCAGGGGUCAGCUUUGAGCCCUUAUCUUUUUGCAUUGGUGAUGGAUGAGGUCACAAGGGGUAUACAAGGAGAUAUCCCAUGGUGUAUGCUCUUUGCGGAUGAUGUGGUGCUAGUUGACGAUAGUCGGAUGGGGGUAAAUAGGAAGUUAGAGUUAUGGAGACAAACCUUGGAAUCGAAAGGGUUUAGGCUUAGUAGAACUAAAACCGAGUACAUGAUGUGCAGUUUCAGUACUACUGGCUGUGAGGAGGAGGAGGUUAGCCUUGAUGGCCAAGUGAUACCUCGGAAGGACACCUUUCGGUACUUGGGGUCAAUGUUGCAGGAGGAUGGGGGUAUUGAUGAAGAUGUGAACCAUCGAAUCAAAGCCGGAUGGAUGAAGUGGCGCCAAGCUUCUGGCAUUCUCUGUGACAAGAGAGUGCCACAAAAGCUAAAAGGCAAGUUCUACAGGACGGCGGUUCGACCCGCAAUGUUGUAUGGCGCGGAGUGUUGA